CCGUUAACGAACGAGAACUUAACCUGCUAUUUAGUCGCUCGGUCUCUGUCCUUGCGCACUUCAUAGAGGGACUCUGCGGCGUCAAGCUGCGGUGAGGUUUAAGGCAAUAACAGGUCUGUGAUGCCCUUAGAUGUCCUGGGCUGCACGCGCGCUACACUGAUGCUUGCCUCGUGUUUACCCUCGGCCGAUAGGCCCUGGUAACCCCUAGUCUGCAUCGUGUUUGGGAUUGAUCUUUGCAAUUCUAGAUCAUGAACGAGGAAUGCCUAGUAUGCGCAAGUCAUCAGCUUGUGCAGAUUACGUCCCUGCCCUUUGUACACACCGCCCGUCGCUCCUACCGAUCGAGUGAUCCGGUGAAUUAUUCGGAACCUGCCUGCGCGAUCCGUCGCCGCUCGCGGGCCAAGUUUUGUGAACCUUAACACUUAAAGGAAGUAGAAGUCGUAACAAGGUU
This 448-nucleotide ribosomal RNA is filed under the name Babesia bovis. Its description in RNAcentral is "SSU rRNA". It matches the Rfam family "Eukaryotic small subunit ribosomal RNA", at positions 1325 to 1801 of the family's 1831-position model. The record is from RNAcentral. Lineage: Eukaryota; Apicomplexa; Aconoidasida; Piroplasmida; Babesiidae.